CGCCUGAAGCGUGGCAGGCCAUUAGGUUCUAAAGAUCGAAAUCCUAGAAAGAGGAAAGCAAAAGAUAAAAAUGACACUACGAAAGAAUCUCACGAGGAAAUUCAUGAUUUAACAAAAUCUGAGAUUCAUGAAGAAUCCAUUGAGCCCGAGACUCUGGAAAAUACGGAACUAUCCCUAAAUCCAAUUAAUAUUGAGGCAAAUAUUAAUCGAGUGNNN
This 216-nucleotide long non-coding RNA is filed under the name Nicotiana benthamiana. RNAcentral describes it as "long non-coding RNA (NBEN_LNC016651)". The record is from RNAcentral. Lineage: Eukaryota; Viridiplantae; Streptophyta; Magnoliopsida; Solanales; Solanaceae.